This 429-nucleotide ribosomal RNA is filed under the name Chloroflexota bacterium. RNAcentral describes it as "Chloroflexi bacterium partial 16S ribosomal RNA". It matches the Rfam family "Bacterial small subunit ribosomal RNA", at positions 355 to 776 of the family's 1533-position model. Lineage: Bacteria; Bacillati; Chloroflexota. The record is from RNAcentral.
UGGGGAAUAUUGCACAAUGGGCGCCAGCCUGAUGCAGCCAUGCCGCGUGUAUGAAGAAGGCCUUCGGGUUGUAAAGUACUUUCAGCGGGGAGGAAGGGAGUAAAGUUAAUACCUUUGCUCAUUGACGUUACCCGCAGAAGAAGCACCGGCUAACUCCGUGCCAGCAGCCGCGGUAAUACGGAGGGUGCAAGCGUUAAUCGGAAUUACUGGGCGUAAAGCGCACGCAGGCGGUUUGUUAAGUCAGAUGUGAAAUCCCCGGGCUCAACCUGGGAACUGCAUCUGAUACUGGCAAGCUUGAGUCUCGUAGAGGGGGGUAGAAUUCCAGGUGUAGCGGUGAAAUGCGUAGAGAUCUGGAGGAAUACCGGUGGCGAAGGCGGCCCCCUGGACGAAGACUGACGCUCAGGUGCGAAAGCGUGGGGAGCAAACAGG